AGGAGGUCGUAUGUCAUGCAGAGUGAUGGCAGAAUAUACUGCACUGUGAGCGACCUCCUUA
Molecule: microRNA precursor, 61 nt
Filed under: Ornithorhynchus anatinus (platypus)
Lineage: Eukaryota; Metazoa; Chordata; Mammalia; Monotremata; Ornithorhynchidae
Description: Oan-Mir-1421-P26_pre stem-loop
Rfam family: mir-1421 microRNA precursor family
Source: RNAcentral